This 127-nucleotide transfer RNA is filed under the name Planktothrix sp. FACHB-1355. RNAcentral's name for it is "tRNA-OTHER". RNAcentral also lists the same sequence under 1 other name. The record is from RNAcentral. Lineage: Bacteria; Bacillati; Cyanobacteriota; Cyanophyceae; Oscillatoriales; Microcoleaceae.
UGGCAGGUAGUUUAGCGGCCUAGAAUACCAAAAACAUCCUUGAUUCACCCCUUGCCUGAAAAGGCCGACGAGUUGAGGGUUAUCGCCUUUCACGCGGGAGACGCAGGUUCAAAUCCUGUCCUGCCAC